This 1322-nucleotide long non-coding RNA is filed under the name Linum usitatissimum (flax). Its description in RNAcentral is "long non-coding RNA (LUSI_LNC004120)". Lineage: Eukaryota; Viridiplantae; Streptophyta; Magnoliopsida; Malpighiales; Linaceae. The record is from RNAcentral.
CGAAUUUAUAUGUAAUAGAUAUUAAUUAAAUAAAAAAGUUAGGGGAAAAAUAAUAUUAAAUAAAAUUUUGGUUUGAUAUGAAAUAUUGAGUGGGAUUUGUCAAUUACAUAUUUACCUUUUAUAUACGAGGAUGGUAUAUGUUCGUAUGUACAUUAAGGAACUGAAAUUUCAAAGUGAAAUCGAACAACAAUAUAGUACAAAUAUAUACAAACAAGCACUACAGAAGAAGCAGAGGCCAGUGAUAAACUUCUAAGAGCUUGUCUUAAAUAAUUCAGUGAAACCCAUGCCCAAGUAGCAAAGUUUGUACAACUUUAAGACCAAGCAGCAUCUUGCUGGAAGAAAACCAAGUAAUAGAGAACCAAUCUACUGCAGAAAAAGAAAUUUUUUGGGACAGCACCUAUCAAAAUUGCAUCAGCAUCAACCCAUAAACAUUACAACUGCAUCACAGACACGAAGUGCAGCAAAACAAAGGUUUAACUGAAAAUAAACAGAAGCAAAAAGGGUAAAAACUGAGAUCACCAAUAGAAGCAGCCUCCGAAUACGCAGCGAUCACUUCAACAUUUUCUGACGAAAGAGCCUUCAUAACAACAACAUGUCAAACAAAAGCUCUUGAACGACUGGAAUUCAACACUAGUAUAUAUGAUACCUAAGCUUGACCUUUAUAAUGUUUGCAUCUACAAGUAAAAAACACCCAGUUUCCACAAAUCUAUCACCAAAAUUCAAUGCAUACGAACUCAAACAUGAAAAUAUUUAUCCCCAAUAAGCCAGACUCCAAUUUCUUAAUAACACAGGCAAUAUUAAAUAUGGAAAUUGACAGCCACAAACUUAUAUCAGCUACUAAAUACAAAGAAGGGGAUUGCAGAUUGAACACUACGAUAAAACCCCAAACCCAACCAUAAACCGAGCAACCAAUUCAAAAACGAAACAAGUUCAUUGUCCCAAAGCAAGGACAUACUUUGACUGUGGAAACCAGAGCAACGUCGUCGUAGGUCUGUUCCCUCAACCGUUCGUUUCCUGGAACUCACCGUCUCUGAAAUUGGGAUUGAUUAGAGGGGGAAAAAUUGAAUCCCGUCGAUCAAAGAUGUCGGGAAGGAAGAAUACGAACCAGGGGAGAGAGAGGUGUGGUUAAAAAGGAUUGAUUUUCUGCCUUUGAUUGCAAGAGAGAUCCGGUGACGGGAAUCAUCGUUAUCGGCGGUGGCGGUGAAUAGAGAGGGAGGAGGAGCAGACCUCUUCCGUCAAUUAUCGAAGAGAAGAAAGAGAAUAUGAAUAGAAGAGAGAAGGUAAAAAGAGAUGAGAGAUAGGUGGGGCUUAAAUUGGCUGAC